UGGCGGGUAGCUCAGUGGAUAGAGCAUCUAAAACAUCCUUGUUCGCCCCUUGCCUGCAAAGGCCGAAGAAUUGAGGGUUAUCGGCUUCUAACCGGAGGGUCGCGGGUUCGAGUCCCGCUCCGCCACCCA
This 129-nucleotide transfer RNA is filed under the name Candidatus Altimarinota bacterium. RNAcentral describes it as "tRNA-Arg". Lineage: Bacteria; Candidatus Altimarinota. The record is from RNAcentral. RNAcentral also lists the same sequence under 2 other names.